This 218-nucleotide ribosomal RNA is filed under the name uncultured bacterium. RNAcentral describes it as "partial 16S ribosomal RNA". It matches the Rfam family "Bacterial small subunit ribosomal RNA", at positions 125 to 334 of the family's 1533-position model. The record is from RNAcentral.
CCUGCCCCGAAGCGGGGACAACAGCCUGAAAGGGCUGCUAAUACCGCAUGUGGAUCGCCUCGGCAUCGAGGAUUAUCCAAAGGCCUGCAGCGAUGUGGGUCACUUCGGGAUGGGCCCGCGGCCUAUCAGCUAGUUGGGGGGUGACGGCCCACCAAGGCUUCGACGGGUAGCUGGUCUGAGAGGACGAUCAGCCGGAUUGGGACUGAGAUACGGCCCAG